Molecule: long non-coding RNA, 641 nt
Filed under: Coffea arabica (coffee)
Lineage: Eukaryota; Viridiplantae; Streptophyta; Magnoliopsida; Gentianales; Rubiaceae
Description: long non-coding RNA (CARA_LNC006780)
Source: RNAcentral
AGUUGCAGUAAUCUCGGGAAAAUAUGACACCUGCAAGAACAUUCAUCAGCUUACAAAAAGUGUGAUAAUCAAGUAGUCUAGUUGAUUUCUCAUUCAUUUGGUUCGACUUCUUCAUGUUACCAAGUUCAAGGCAGAGAUAGUUUAUCCAAUAUAGCAAUUGUCGUGCAUAACUUCACAAUUUUGUGUUUGCCUGUCAAAUAGAUAGGUGAACCAUAAAUAAAACUGCACAAUUGUAAUUCUAUCAAUUGUUUCUUUUUGGCUAAUUUCUAUUCUCUGAUGCAGCUAAUAUGUCAUGUGUCUUCAAGUCUUCAUGUUAAGGGCCGAAAAGCGUAGAUCACACAGCACUGGGGAGGGUAGAAUCCCCUAGCACUCGGAAGACUAAAGGUGUUGGGAUUUGGGAACAUCUGCAAUUCAUCAUGAACUCCUACAUGGAAGGCCUUUAUUGAGUGACUACAGGAAACAGAUGGGCAAAUCGUGCUACGUAUAAGGUGCAGUUAGUCACAAGUCUGGCGAAAUCUAGGACCGUGAUGGGACACCGAAUAGGAAAAUAAUCAGUGGACUCUUGGUCUCCUAGAUGAAUUUUCUAGCACUUCGUUGCCAAUUGCCAUGUCUGUUUCUGUUUUAUAUAUUUUCUAAUACAG